CAGAGGUCUCGAGCGUUGAUCGGAAUUAUUGGGCUUAAAGGGUGCGUAGGCGGUCCUGUCAGUGCCUUGUGAAAUCCCAUGGCUCAACCAUGGAAUUGCUCGGUAGACCACAGGACUUGAGGUCGGUAGGGGUCGCUGGAACGUCUAGGUGGAGCGGUGAAAUGCGUAGAUAUCUAGUGGAACGCCAAAGGUGAAGACAGGCGACUGGGCCGACUUCUGACGCUGAGGCACGAAAGCGUGGGUAGCGAACGGGAUUAGAUACCCCGGUAGUCCACGCCCUAAACGAUGUGCACUAGAUCGUGGAGGCUCUGACGCCCCCAUGGUCGAAGUUAAAAUGCUAAGUGCACCGCCUGGGGGAGUACGGUCGCAAGGACUA
RNAcentral lists this ribosomal RNA (376 nucleotides) under uncultured organism. RNAcentral's name for it is "bacterial SSU rRNA". It matches the Rfam family "Bacterial small subunit ribosomal RNA", at positions 526 to 897 of the family's 1533-position model. The record is from RNAcentral.